Saccoglossus kowalevskii is the source of this 382-nucleotide long non-coding RNA. RefSeq lists it as uncharacterized. NCBI's taxonomy places the organism in Eukaryota, Metazoa, Hemichordata, Enteropneusta, Harrimaniidae. The record is from RefSeq and is a predicted model, not a curated record.
AACUGCUCUGGAGUAACACGUCGUUCACUGUCACAUACAAAUAUUGUGUGGGUUGUACGAACGAAGCAAUAUGAACUCUAAAUAUCUUGCUGUCAUUCUUGUAACCGCAAUUAUUAUUGCAGAGACAGUCACUGUAGAAGGAACAUCGUACAAUCGUCCCAAACAUCGACGUAGCAAGGGUCGAUCAUUUGAUCUGAACCAGGUUGAGGAUUCUGUCGAGGAAGAAAGGCGGGAAUUCGACAACUCUGCGCGGAGAUAUGUAGAAAAUGAAGAGGAACGGCAAAUCGAUUAAUGUUAUAUAAUAAAAACACAAAAUGAUGUCAUAAACAAUGAGUUGAUAUGGUGAAAUGUUGAUAUUAAAAAUGUUUUACAUCAAGAAAAA